AUGGUGAAAUGGGUUGACAUCUGCUUGCCGAAGGACCGAGGUGGGUUGGGCAUCCCUGUGUCUUGCCGUAUGAAUGUUGCGCUCAUGCUUCGUUGGGUUUGGCGGAUCUUGUGAGGAGAUGGAGGUUUGUGGCUGCAGCUGAUUGAGUCCAAGUACUUGCAGGGCCAUCCCCUCUUGGCUUGCUCGCACUCGGUUGGGUCCUAG
This 204-nucleotide ribosomal RNA is filed under the name Triticum aestivum (bread wheat). RNAcentral's name for it is "partial small subunit ribosomal RNA". Lineage: Eukaryota; Viridiplantae; Streptophyta; Magnoliopsida; Poales; Poaceae. The record is from RNAcentral.